RNAcentral lists this ribosomal RNA (254 nucleotides) under uncultured bacterium. RNAcentral describes it as "partial 16S ribosomal RNA". It matches the Rfam family "Bacterial small subunit ribosomal RNA", at positions 524 to 776 of the family's 1533-position model. The record is from RNAcentral.
UACGUAGGGGGCAAGCGUUGUCCGGAUUUAUUGGGCGUAAAGAGCGUGUAGGCGGCCAUACAGGUCAGCUGUGAAAACUCGAGGCUCAACCUCGAGACGUCGGUUGAAACCGUAUGGCUAGAGUCCGGAAGAGGAGAGUGGAAUUCCCGGUGUAGCGGUGAAAUGCGCAGAUAUCGGGAAGAACACCCGUGGCGAAGGCGGCUCUCUGGGACGGUACUGACGCUGAGACGCGAAAGCGUGGGGGAGCGAACAGG